Rattus norvegicus (Norway rat) is the source of this 8725-nucleotide non-coding RNA. The record is from RefSeq and is a predicted model, not a curated record. NCBI's taxonomy places the organism in Eukaryota, Metazoa, Chordata, Mammalia, Rodentia, Muridae.
CCGAGCUGCCCCACCCACGGACCUUACGGAUCUUAACAGACUCCAGGCUCCGGGAAGCUCGGUCCCAGGGGUGGGUGUUCGGAGGACCGGUGCGUGCUGACCGACCAGCGUUCCCGACGCCCUGACGUGUUGAGACCCCGCCGUGUUGGUUCCGACCUUCCGCUCCGCCCAGACGUCUCUGCCUCGACCCGCGACGCCCUCGCAUCCGCGCCCGGGUAGGGUAUCGGGCGUGCGCGCCGGCCGCUGCCUCAUCGCGCGACCCCCGGAUGCUGGAUCGCAUCGACCCCCCUGGGUUUUCCAUCCGGUCGUUGCUUCGUCGAAAGAGGGAGGCCGUGAAAGAAGGAGGCGGUGAGACGUUUGUUAACUCGGAAAACGAGGCCGGGCCGCUCGACUCCACCUCGGUUCGUCGCCUGCCUAUGGAUCCCACCCUCUCAGCUGGGCUGCGGGCCUCGGCGGGAGGGGAUGCGACGGGUUCUGCGGUGACUCAAUGCGUCGGGGUCGGGUGCUGUCCGUGGGGGGCUCUCCCCUCUCAGAGACGGACAGGGCUGCGUGACAGGGGACGGCGGGGACAGGACGCAAAGCGAGCAGACGAACAGAUUGACGAAGAAAGGCGGGACGGGAAAUUCCCGAAGCGGAAACCUAAGGGUUCUCUGGAAAGUCGGUUGUGUCGGACGGUGUUCUGCUGGGGCGGACAGGCGAAGGAGUGUUUUCCCGAAGCGGACACGGGAGAGAGGAUGUCCUGCUAAAGCAGGCGCGCGAAAGGACGCACACUGAAGGAUUCUUUAUUGACCACGCGCGUGUAUCGGUCUGCCUCACACCGUGAUGUUGAGCUCCUUCUGUCAGGACCCCACAGAGAGAAACGCGGCAGAAGACUUCCGGCGGUGUGCGGUGGCUUCUGGCCGCUCCGUCGGACUCUGGCAGAGCGAUGUGGACCGACGCACACUCACAUGCAGUUUUGCUAGGACAGAUCCGUGUGCCGAGGCGGAGCACAUAGUGAGACAAGAUCUGUAUCUGUAGAGGACGCACGACGUUCGGAGGGAUUACGACUAGGACCCAACACACAAUGAGAUCUGAGACGGGCCUGCCGGUGGAGGUGGCUGCUCAACACUCCUCGGUCUCAAGUCUCCGCUUCUCCUGAGGUUUCUCACGGUCCAAACCCCUCCCGCUGACUCGCGCUGAUUCCGCAGAGGCCCGAGUGACCCAGUCGGGUCGAGCCACCUCUACUGCGGUCCGAGGUCACUGAACCGGACCGCCGACGUCACCGAACCGGACCACCGAUUUCCCGACGACAGAGAUGGGGUCUGCUCGGAAGAACCAUUUCUAAGCAGUGGGAGAAACAGGAGGCCCUGAGACUCCGUGGCCAGGAAGCAGAGCCUGCUUAAUGAGCCAAUGAUCUCUUCUGCCUUCAUGAGAGUGUGCACACGUGCACACACGCACCAUCAUCGAUGACGCUCUCGAAGUAUUUGAAGACGACUCUGAGAAAGGUCAGUGGAUUGAUUGGCUCAUCUACCAACUCUGAACAAUUUUCGCUAAAAGUGUAAAAUCUGAACUAAAAGCUCAGCAUACAAAUUAGACACAGGGAAACUGAGUUAGACCACGUUACAUACACAGCAUGGGAAUAAGCCAUUUAGAAUAGAAUUAGAAGGCUAAAUACAUCUCCAUCGGAAAAUGAGGGGAAUUGUGGAAAUGACAGAAGCAUAGAGAUUAAUGACUGGAACUUUACCACAAUUCUUACUUUUUAAUUAAAAAAGUACUCAACUCUCAGAUCCACAAAAACAAUCUUUUUCCUUCCUCUUUUCUAUAGAAAAAAAAAAAUCAAACGAUAUAUCCUGAUCACAGUUUCACCUCCUUCAGCUCCUCCCAAAACCUCCCCUGCCUCUCUACCCACACAGAUCCGUCCCAUUUCUUUCUCUCUAUCAUUAGGACACAACCAGACAAACAAACAAACACCAAAUUUCUUCUUCUUUUUUUUCUUUUUUCUUUUUUUCGGAGCUGGGGACCGAACCCAGGGCCUUGCGCUCGCUAGGCAAGCGCUCUACCGCUGAGCUAAAUCCCCAACCCCAAAUUUUUUCUUAAAUGGGGGAAAAGACAGAAGAAACACAGACACACACACACAUACACACACUCCAUAGAAACACAAAAUUAGAAACUGUAAUAUGCAAGCAAAAAGACCAGUAAAACAAACAAACAAAUAAAAGUACCCACCCAAUACUGUAUGAGACAAAAAGCCUAACGAAAUACAACUGGGUAUUUUUUUCCCCCUUGGUUAUCUAUUUUUAGGCACGAGGCUUGCCUAUUCUUAGUUGUGGUUUCUCAACUAGGCUGACAAUGACUCCAUAGACUAUCUGGUAAAAACCCCAACUCUAGGUGUGAGAAAAUCUUUUUGUGAGUUGUUCGUGGUGGUUGUCAUAACUCCACUUACUAAUUUCUGUUUCAUUUUCUCCAAACCAGACAUUUUUCCUUGUUUAUCUUUUCAAAAAAUCUUUUUAUUCUCCCACUUAAAGUAUCAGUAACUAUUAUUAAUGCAUUUAAAAAUACUUGAGUUAAUUUCUCAGAAACGGUCAGAAAUGCAAAUCUCCAACAGUACAAAGGAACCAAAUUCGAGAGACACUUUGCGUGAACUCGAAUUCUUAUAGACAUGUUCAUCACAAAUAACGUAGAAGAAAAAACUCAAAGUUGAUCAUCGUAAAGCUCUCCAGGAGUUUUUACAUCGAUGGUGUGAUCAACAAUACGUUUCUUCUGAAGCGACUAACAGCACUGCUAACCUUCCAAAGUGGAAUUUUUCUUCUGAAGCAACUAACAGCACUGCUAACCUUCCAAAGUGGAAGUUUCCGUAUUUCAAACGCACAGCGUUAAGAAUGAAAGAAGUGUCACUAAACUUAUAUUAUUCAUCUUAGUCGCACAUUAAAAAAGAGAUUUUUGGCAAGUACCGAUACAACUAUGUAGCAGGGAGAUAAAUGGAGAGCAAAUCGCGGAGUGAUUAAUCGCGCUGCAUACGAAAGUGAAAAGAAGAAACAGAGAUGCAGGGUUUGACGGGGAAAUUCUAAGCUCUCUGUACUUGGGACUAGUCAAAAGAAAGAAAGAAAGAAAGAAAGGAAGGAAGGAAGGAAGGAAGGAAGGAAGGAAGGAGGCAUAAUAGGGCUGAGAAGCUCAUGAAUAUGCUCCAGGUAAUCUGUAUGUGCACCGAAAUGCUUUUUAGUUUGGUUCAUUUAAGUCUGAAAUUCCCUUCCCCACUGAUGUCAGCCAAGAUUAUAGGGAAACAGAAAAGUGUAAUGAACAGAAGGGUAAGAUAAUUUUGGAAAACCAUCAGUGACAAUAAUCUUUAGCUGACCUCUUCUUUCACGGACUCCUCUCAUGCAUCUCUGACCGCCAGGUUUUUCAAGCGAAGCAAAGUAGCAACUUGGUAUAAACCACAUGGUAAGGCAGGAUUGGAAUGAUGCCCUGACAGGCAGGACAGGAGGGUGACAGAGACCCUGUUCACAGAUAUGAAUGAUUCCGUUUCAAAGGGAAAAUUAAGGUUCUAGAAAACAGAAAUCCUACUGCUUGGCGGCACUGCCUUAUGCACUGGUUGUAGGUAACUCAGAUAAACAACAGUGUCCGUGAGUGAGCCAUGGAAGUUGCCUGAAUUUCAAGAUGUGUUCUGAGGAAAGCAGGACAAUCAAAUCUUUGACAAGGGCAGAGGUCCUUUGUGGAGGCACGGCCCACUCGGCCUCGUGCUCCAAACGGUACAGGUAAAGAAGCACACACGUGUGGAAACAUUAGUUUGCUACUAACAAGAGUGUCUACAAAGAUGAAUCCAUAAUAAUCGGCCCAAGCUAUGUCUUCUGAAAACCUUGAAGGAAACAUAAAGAUCACUGGGGGUCUUAACAGGUAUUUCCAAAAUGAAGGCCAACUGAACAAACACUAUUAAGGAAAGCUGAACUAAUGCUAAAAAUAAAAGUACACACACUGGGUAUUGGGAGAAGUUUGUCCUUUAAGAGGGUUAAGGUGGUACAGAAAAAGAUUUAGCCCAAGGACAGACAGGCCAAGAAUUGCAUGGAGGACACCCGAGGAGGGGAGGAAACUGAAAAAAAAUCCUUUCACUUAAAAAAAAAAGAUGUGAUCUAUCUUCCUAGUGCCAGUUCUGGACAUUUUGUAAUCAGAAUAUUUAUCUUCUCUCUCCUCUCCUGCCCUGCCCUCUCUCCUCUUUUCUCUAUUCUUCUUCUCUUCCUCCUCUUCCUAUUGAUCCUCUUCUUCCUCUUUCCCCUUCUCCUUUAGCUAUGGUAUUUCUGCAUUAUAUAAUUCUGUCUACCUGGAAGCUCAUUAAGUCAAUUAGGCUGGCCUAGAUCUCUAGAUCUGCCUGCCUCUGCCUCCUGGGGUUCUGGAAUUAGAUAUCUGCCAAGUCAGAGCUUUUCUUAUUGAUGUUUCAAUUUUUUGUACACAUUUACAGAUCUUCCAGACCCCUCAGAGGAGCACAGGCACAGUGAUAACGAAGGGUCACAGGGGUGGGGGAUGGAGGACUUUUAUCCUGACUGACUGGCAGUCAGAGUGAUUAUUUAUACAGAACUCAUUAGGCAAGGAUUUAUCCAUGUUGUUCCGAGCCAUAGACCAUAUAAUUUUUGUCCCCAGACGUGUCUUUUAACUUCCUCUUGGUCAUAAGUUUAGACAUUAUUGAUAAACAGCGACACAACAGAGUUACCUUACACAGUCAUUUUUCCUCAUCGAGCCCACAACCCCCAAGAAUCUUGUGUUUUCAAGGGCACUAGACAGAAAGAAAAUCUCCAGGCCAGCCUGGGCAGAUUGCCAUGUCUUAAGCACUGUGUUAUCAAAUUCUAAUGGUCAGAAUGUUAAUUGUCAUCAGGACCAAGAAAGAUCUUCAGGCCAAGGCUGCUGCAGCUAUCAUUCAAUUUCUGCCAUAAUACAAUGUUUAUAUUUUAUAUCUCUGUAAAAUUUAUGUAUAUGUCUAAUUUUGGUAUCCUUUUGUUCCUAGAUCGUAUGACAUCACACUAGUCCUACACAAACUAACUUUUCUGAGAAAGGAAGGUCUUAACACUUCAUUCUUUUAUCGUGUAUCCACACCAUUCUUUGUCCAUCAAUUUGAGCCCCUGUGUAAGGCAGAGAUAACCCCAGCCAAUCUAACUUUGUCGCUGUGUCUUUUUGCAGAGGGGCGUGUCAUAUGCAGCCCUCUAUCUUACAUGCCACAUAAUUGCCUGAGUGUACAGUAAGAAGAGGUCUUUAACACGAUCUGCUGCCAAUUUCUCUACCCACCAAAUCUUGUUUUAAGUUGACUUUGUUCAGAUUAUCCUGUUCCUGAGGCAGAUGUUCCAUGAGUUAUCUUGUAGCUGGAGCCUCAUGUGUGAUUCCUUUAUUUGAGUCACCCUCGAGGGUGUAAGGUUAAUCUUCAAGGAGGGCCAAGCAAGGACAUCUCCCUGGAGGAUGGAGGGAUAGUGUGCUCAGGACUUUCUUGAGGAAGCUUAGAAGCAGCACUCCUGGGAAAGACAUAAAUGACUCCUAAAAUUUUCAUGAAUCCAAUAUCCCAAGUUGUACAGAUAUUAAAAGCCCCAUCCGUGCAUGCAGCGUAUUGGGAUCAAGACCGAAAGUAGAAGACUGUAAGACAUCUCCUGGCUCAGCCUCGCAGGUUUUUGUCAAGCAGCUGCACUGGCUUUAUGACAUUGAGUGUUCCCAUUAGAUACGGGUGUGCCAUAGAAGCCUAUAAAUUAUCUUGUCUUGGUUUAGUUUCUGCAGGUUACUUGCAUCUGAAAAUCUAUUCUUUCCUUUUAACCUCUUUUGGUUAAGUGAGGUGUAAGAUAAGGUAUAUUCUAAUACAUUCCCGAAUUUAAUUAGUAUCUUUGUUUCCCUCUUCACCUUCAAUUUUAUCAAUUUAUGUGUUGUCUCUUACUUUUGGUUAGUUUGGUUAGAUUUACGGGAAUGGUUUAUAUUUUCAAAGAAUAAAAUCUUUGUUUUACUGAUUUUUUUUCUAUUCCACGAAUUUCUGUACUACUAUUAACUAUUCCUCUUCAUCUUCUGAAGGUCAGGUCGGUCAACAUGGGAACCAUGACUGGGGGAGCAAGGACGAUUGUAGGAAAAGAAGAUGAAAGAGAUAGAGAAGAGAGGACUGCUGGUGAAGACCAUGCCAGAGAGAAAAUUAUUUUUCAGUGCCUUUUGAAGGCAAGUAACACAAAGCACGGCCAAUUUCUGGAAGAUAAACAAUGACCAUAAAUCCUUAUGUGGUGAAUUUAUGGUGAACAGUAUUUACAUUUGACUGAGGCCAUUUCCUUCAGGCUAGAACAAUCCUUCAAGGAUGUAUGGGCAAGAAGAGGAACUUGUCAGGGUAUAAAAGCAAUUCAUUUUCGAUUGGGUUGUCUGGUUUCUUGGUGGUUAUCUUCUUGAGUUCUUUCUAUAUUUUGGAUAUUGGCCCUCUAUUGAAUGUGGGGUUAAUGAAGACUUUUUCCCAAUCUGUGGUAUGCUGGUUUGUUCUACAGGCUACGUCCUUUGCCUUACAGAAGCUUUGCAGUUCCAUGAGGUCCCAUUUAUCAAUUCUUCAUCUAACAUGAGAACUCUCCAAUCAUUUUACGUUGGAGCUCAACGCUAUGCGUUUUCCUCUUAGCACUGCUUUCUCCGUGUCCCAUAAAUUUGGGUAUGUUGUGCCUUCAUUUUCAUUGAACUCUAGAAAAUCUUUGGUUUUUUUCUUUAUUUCUCCCUUAAUCCAGUGGUUAUCAAGUUCCAGGAAUUGUUCGGUUUCCAUGUGUUUGUAGGCCUUCUGUUAUUUCUGUUGUUGGAAGUCUAGCUUUAAGCCGUGGUGGUCUAAAAAGGUGCAGAGGGUUAUUUCAAUUUUCUUGUGUCUGUUGAUAUUUGUUCUGUGACUGAUGGUACGGUCAGUUUUAGAGAAGGUUCUAUGAGGGGCUGAGAAGGAGGUAUUCUUUUGUGUUAGGAUGAAAUGUUCUGUGGAUGUCUGCUAGGUCCAUUUGAGUCAUAAUAUCUGUUAGUUUCAUUAUUUCUUUGUUCACAUUUGGUCUGGAUGACCUGUCCACGGGUGAGAGUGGAGUGGUGAAGAUUCACUCUCCCUAUUGUUUGUAAAAUGCCCCAAAUCUUCGCAACCCACCAAAAAGGGAUUGUCCUCCUCCCCACCACCACAGUAAGUUGUGUCUCAUGUUCCCAUGUUCUAUCUCUUGUUCCCCCCUUCAUCCCCCCCCCCAAAAAAAAAACAAAGAGAAUUGUCAAAAAAGGCUUCCAGGCUUUGCCAUAACUGGGGUCCAUCAAGACGAGGCUGUCUAGGAACAGAAACAGUAUCUGGUGUAAAGUGGCAAUUUCUGUUUCCUUUGGAGACUUGGGUUAUAACGAUCUUUUGCUAGGGAAGACAGGUGAAAAACAUUUUGUUAAAGCAGACACGUGAAAGAAUGAUUUCCCAAAGCAGACCCAGGUGAGAGGAUGCUUUGCUACAGCAGACAAGUGAAAGGAUGCGCGAUGUCUACAAAGAAUAUAAACAUAACCCACAGACAGUGGGAACUGGAACAUUGGUUUGCCUUGCUCUGCCUUUCUAUGCUUUGCUGGUGACACACAUGUAUUGGUUUGCUUUAUAUUGCUUUGCUAAGCUUCACUCGUGGAGACUCUUUUCAAACAUCAUGUGUCCUCUCAAACGUCUGCCUCAGUAAAACAUCCUCUCGCAUCCGCUUUAGCAAAACAUCCUCUCAUCAGUCAGCUUCCAGAAAAAUAUCACACGACACAACCGAGUCUCCAAAGAAACCCAGGAAUUUCACUUCAAUAAUACAUGUUCGUUAUAGUUACAGUAAGUGACAAGAGGAUGGUGGAUUUUCCAUUCUUUUCCACAGUCGUCCCUAUUCUUAUGUCUAACAUGCAUUACGCUUGUAAGCAAAACGAAAUUUAAAGUUAUUUGCCAAUUAUUGAGAAAAACUUCUAAUUAGUUCCCAAGUGAUCUACUUUGCUGAAGCUUUAAUUAUCCUGUAUAAUUUAUUGAAGGCCGAAAGUUCUUCUAAUUGGUACCCUGUUGCCCAUGCAGUGAGGAUGGCUAUACCAUAAUGAAGUCCCUGAAGCCACUGAACAUUGAGUCCAGGGCUGGAUACUACAGGGCCUGAACACCUUGGAGAUCUUUUUCUGUUUCUGUGUUCUUAAGCUAUUUCCAAAAAGCAACAUAUGGUCAUCUCUUCUUGAAAAUUAUCCUCGAGAGAGCCCCUGAGAGCUUGCUUCAUCAACAUUUUGUCAAUAUUUCAUGAUGGCAUUUGUACUCUGUUUCUUCAAAUACUCACAUAUAGACACACAUGCUUAAACACGGAAAUAUAUGCGUGCGUGCAAGGCAUGCAUAUAGAAGACGUGUUUAGAAUAUAAUAAACAUUUGAAAAAUCAACCUGUAAUAAGUUAAGCCUAAGAAAUAAAAGGGACAGCAGGGGGCAUAAAUUUGAGGAAAGUGGAAAUUAAACGAAAAACCUAUUUUUCUGACACUCGAGAUAUUUCUUGGAAUGCUAAAAUUCAAAAUUCCAUUUAUCCCUUAGCAUCUGUGAGAGAUUGGUUCCAGGGCUUUCUUAGAAGCCUAAAUUCUCACAUUCACACCCUUUAUAUAAAAUGGCAUAUUAUUUGCAUAUAACCUGUCCUGCCAGCAGCACUGUAAAUGGUUUCUGGAAUAUUUUUAGUUUCUAACACAAUGUAAAGUUCACGCAAACAGUUGGUGUAUUAUUUAGAGAGUAAGGUUAGGAAUGUCUGUUUUCUUAUUUUAGUACAGUUUUUUUUUCAA